This 252-nucleotide ribosomal RNA is filed under the name uncultured bacterium. Its description in RNAcentral is "partial 16S ribosomal RNA". It matches the Rfam family "Bacterial small subunit ribosomal RNA", at positions 524 to 776 of the family's 1533-position model. The record is from RNAcentral.
UACGUAGGUCCCGAGCGUUGUCCGGAUUUAUUGGGCGUAAAGCGAGCGCAGGUGGUUUAUUAAGUCUGGUGUAAAAGGCAGUGGCUCAACCAUUGUAUGCAUUGGAAACUGGUUGACUUGAGUGCAGAAGAGGGAAGUGGAAUUCCAUGUGUAGCGGUGAAAUGCGUAGAGAUAUGGAGGAACACCAGUGGCGAAGGCGGCUUCCGGGUCUGCAACUGACACUGAGGCGCGAAAGCGUGGGGAGCAAACAGG